CCAGGGAUAAUGAGGCCCUCCAUGGGGGACCUUCAAAGUCUGUCACAUCAUUUCGGGGAGGGCCUAGGCCCUCCUUGCUGUAUCUGAGCUGCAACAGUAUCCCUCCAUAGGGAAUGGACUCCCAAAGUCUAUUUGUGCUCUAGGGAUAAAGACUGGCUCCACUUUUAGAGGUCCCAUAGACUGUCUUGACCUCCUAGCUGGCACCCACAUUCAGAGGGCUUGGUUUGUUCCAAUGCUGUUUCCCCAGCUUUAUGACUAGGGUCUCCAUGCUAUCAGUAGGUCAGGUCCACUGAUUCUGCAGGUUUCUCCAACCCCAUCUUGGCUCCUUUGCUCAUCCCUCCUCCCUCUCUACAACCGGAUUCCAGUAGUAUGGUUCAGUGCUUAGCUGUGUGUGCCUGUUUCUGCUUCGAAUAGCUGGAUGAAGGCUCUAGGAAUGGUAACCAAGGUAGUCAUCAGUCUCAUAGGGGAAGGGCAUCAAUGGCAUCCUCCCCACCACUGCCUGGAUUCUUAGUUGGGGUCAUCCCUGUGAAUUCCCCUAACAUUUUCCCUGUGCCAGACCUCUCUCCAAACCUGUGCUGUCUGUCUCCCUCUAUCAAGGCAUCUCCUUUCUUGGGACUCCUUUCUUUAGUUACAAAGGAAAUUGUAAACACCAUCAUCCUGGAACAACAAAAGAUACACAGCACUGUGUCUGGUGCAUAUAUACAUGUGGAAGUGUUUGUGUAUUUGUCUGUAUGUGUGUUGGUACAGGGGUCAGCCUACAUGUAUGUGUGUUUGUGUGUAACUGAUGGCCCAGUGUCCCGCGCUAUCGCCUCGCCAGCAAGAACCACACAGGACACUCGGAUCCUUCUGCAGUAAAGCUUUAAUGCGUCUUGAGAGAGAGAGAGCAUAAGCUUACAAAAGCGGAGACCCCGAGCCAAGAAUCCCGUCCCCUAAUAAAGGCUGGCAGCCGCCGCCUGGGACAUGUCACCCUAUGAUUGGCUGCAGCUCAUCAGGCCAUAUGACGCCAUGGAAUAGGCAGAGAUCAAGGAAUGGAAAAUUACCCAGCGCCUGCACAAUAAUCUUGUUUACAUUCAGUGCCUGCAGGCGCCAUCAUUGUAAUGGAGAAUGCAGGGACGGCUCCCUACAUCUCCCCCUUUUUUUAUUAAUUAAUGAUAAGGCUUUAUAUUUUUACAAGCAAAUAGGUCACCCAUAUGUUGAGGGAUAGAGGCAGAGGUUGUACCUUCCCAAUCAAACAUUAAGACUGUGUACAAGAGUCGCCAUCAGGCUGUUAGCUUGACCCGAAGCACUCUCGACCUGUCCUCUGCCGUUUUUCUGGGAAAGGGAGACUAGGGCAGGCAACCCUUAUGCAGGACAACAUGUCUCCCAGAGAAGCCUGCAUACUGGGCAACUCUCUGUGUGAUGCCUUGCUCAACAUCCCUCAUGGGCUGCUCAAACCAGACAUUCUACCCUGUGCAAUGAGCCUAGGCUCCGGGUGUGCAAGAGCUGUCUGGCCGGCGGCCUAUUGCUUAAGCAUAGUUAGCCAAAUAUCAGUGGAAGCCCCUUGUUCCAAAGCUACAAGCGCUUGGGCGAUAACCACCUUGUCUCUCUUAGUUUGAGCCCUGAGCCUACAGACCAGAGAAGCAACAUCAAUCCGCAGCAAACGGCUGCACCAAACAAUCCCAUCCCCACCCAUUCCUUAAAAUAGGAGACAGCUGAAGCGAUCCAUGAUGACAAUCCCUCCGUCAAGGACAGGAGUUAAUCUGGAUAAUAGUGGCUCUCAACUCCCUGGGAGAGGGUGGAGUUCCAACUUUUGAAGGUCUGAAGGGGCUCUUCGGGUGAGUCUUUCUGGGACCCACAGGGGAUUCUCUUCAUCCUGUGGAAAAACACAUAUAGCUCCCCUGGAUCUUAUGAGAAUAGGAUCCGGGCCUCUCCAAAGACCAGUUAAGAUAUCCUUUGGCCUUUCAGGUUCUGAGGUGUGACGCUUGGCCGCAGUAUGGCCCUGAGCGUCAAUGUUUAGAAAAUUAAGGGUAAAGAGUGCCAUGGAUAUUGCAACUCUUGGCACCGAGGGUAAGGAUACUCCCAUUCCCUCCUUUUGUUUGGUUUUCCCCUGUCAAAGACUGGGAAAGCCAUCUGUAGUUUCCUCCGCUCCUCUAAUGGUAAAAAGGAGUCGGUACCAAAUUUUUGUUGUGACUCAUAUAAUGGGGGUGCUGAUGGAAGUAUACCCGCUGGAUUAAGAGGCGGUGGCCUCAUAUUUGCUUUUACUUUUGGCAGCCGAUAUCUAUCGGGGUGGUAUUUGUCUUUUUUAUAUCGUGCUGCCUCCUCCUUUAGUUCUGCUUCCUCGCUAGAGUCUAAAAUCUCAGAGUCUGAGCUGCUCAGCUCCAAGGCCUCUAGUUUCACCGUAGGGUAGAGGCUAGGUUUUGAGUCUUUAUUUCUCUUAAAUUUACCGGGGUGUGACCGGUUAUUCCCUAUUUUCUCUCCCCCUUUUUUUGUAUCCUGGGGAGGGCCUUUUUUCUUAGACAUGUCCUUCCUUUUUUGAGCUCUUAAUCUCUCAUCUCGUUCGGUUUCUGAUAUAUUAUCCUGUACCUCUUUAAGCGUUUUAAUUAGGUCUCUCUGUUUUGAAGAGCCCAUUAUGCUGGAGGCUACCUGGGGUAAGCUUGGUCUCGAACUGGAACACCAGCCACGGUGGGCAUAAUAUAAGACCAAUGUGAACAAAAGAAGAAUAAAGACUAGAAUUAAGGCUUUUCCAUCCCAUAGUGGUGACAAAUUAAAAACAAAGUCAAAAAAGGUGUCAGAAUAAAGCAUACCUCUCCGAACUUAUCACCCUGCAGUUCUGAAUCCGCCCCGUCCGAGGGGUCUCCGCGGUGCCGGCGAUGUUAACAAGUUCCCGGGUUUCGCACCAGAUGUCCCGCGCUAUCGCCUCGCCAGCAAGAACCACACAGGACACUCGGAUCCUUCUGCAGUAAAGCUUUAAUGCGUCUUGAGAGAGAGAGAGCAUAAGCUUACAAAAGCGGAGACCCCGAGCCAAGAAUCCCGUCCCCUAAUAAAGGCUGGCAGCCGCCGCCUGGGACAUGUCACCCUAUGAUUGGCUGCAGCUCAUCAGGCCAUAUGACGCCAUGGAAUAGGCAGAGAUCAAGGAAUGGAAAAUUACCCAGCGCCUGCACAAUAAUCUUGUUUACAUUCAGUGCCUGCAGGCGCCAUCAUUGUAAUGGAGAAUGCAGGGACGGCUCCCUACAGCCCAGUACUUGUAGCUACAUCCUAAUUAAAG
Molecule: long non-coding RNA, 3244 nt
Filed under: Cricetulus griseus (Chinese hamster)
Lineage: Eukaryota; Metazoa; Chordata; Mammalia; Rodentia; Cricetidae
Description: lncRNA (ENSCGRG00015035738.1)
Source: RNAcentral